RNAcentral lists this long non-coding RNA (671 nucleotides) under Actinidia chinensis (golden kiwifruit). Its description in RNAcentral is "long non-coding RNA (ACHI_LNC003037)". Lineage: Eukaryota; Viridiplantae; Streptophyta; Magnoliopsida; Ericales; Actinidiaceae. The record is from RNAcentral.
CCCUAGUGCCCGGGGUUGGGAGGAUAAUUUUUCAAACUUCAGGGGAGGUCAUUGUAAUUUUUCAAACGUCAGAGGUGCUUUAUGUACUAAAGGCAAGCCUCAGGAGAGGUCAGUGUAAUUCACCCUAAUACAUUCCCCCCACCCCCCACACACAAAAAAAAAGGAAAAAAACAUAUUGAACGAGUCAUUACCAAGUAAAAAAGCUUCCUACUUAUGUCCGACUUCAAAGGUAAAUAGGAUUAACACCAGAACUUCAUUCUUACUUUUUCUUUCUGUUAUCGCUUUUGAAGUGAAAUAACUUCUGCCAAUAAUAUAAACAAUGAAGUUGCUCCUCUCUCUAAUAGUUUAAGCUUUUAGAUGAAUUAUGUUAAACAAUUUAACAACAUCAAAACUACCCAGUAUUUGGUAACUGUAGAACUAGGAAGCCUUAGGAACUCCAGUCUUAUAUUUACACAACAUAUCAUACCCCAUUCUCGACGCCCCUUGGCAUUACCAGAUAAGGAAGUUUCCUCGGUGGUCCCUCCAAGAGCAAACAAACAACUCUACAUGGAAGGAUUAGCAUAAGAGUUUAACAUCUUUCCUCUUUUUCUUAUUCCCCACCCACCUUCCUUUUAUUUAAGAAUGAUUUUAGCUGAAAUGACUUAAUAUGGGAGGCUGCCUUAGAUUUAACU